Molecule: ribosomal RNA, 169 nt
Filed under: uncultured bacterium
Lineage: Bacteria
Description: partial 16S ribosomal RNA
Rfam family: Bacterial small subunit ribosomal RNA
Source: RNAcentral
CCUACGGGAGGCAGCAGUGGGGAAUAUUGCACAAUGGGCGGAAGCCUGAUGCAGCAACGCCGCGUGAGCGAUGAAGGCCUUCGGGUCGUAAAGCUCUGUCCUCAAGGAAGAUAAUGACGGUACUUGAGGAGGAAGCCCCGGCUAACUACGUGCCAGCAGCCGCGGUAAU